Long non-coding RNA from Amblyraja radiata (thorny skate), 154 nucleotides. RefSeq lists it as uncharacterized. NCBI's taxonomy places the organism in Eukaryota, Metazoa, Chordata, Chondrichthyes, Rajiformes, Rajidae. The record is from RefSeq and is a predicted model, not a curated record. The transcript has 3 exons.
GGGAAGGAAUAGGAUGAUAAAAUGUUAUCAGAGCGACAGUCAGGCUGGUCGGCGAACUAGGAAGGGGGAGGGAUGGAGAGAGAGGGAAAGCAAGGGCUACUUGAAGUUAGAGAAGUCAAUGUUCAUACCACUGGGGUGUAAGCUGCCCAAGCGA